RNAcentral lists this ribosomal RNA (376 nucleotides) under uncultured organism. RNAcentral describes it as "partial 16S ribosomal RNA". It matches the Rfam family "Bacterial small subunit ribosomal RNA", at positions 527 to 896 of the family's 1533-position model. The record is from RNAcentral.
GUAGGUGGCAAGCGUUGUCCGGGAAUUAUUGGGGCGUAAAGCGCGCGCAGGCGGUUCUUUAAGUCUGAUGUGAAGGGCCCACGGGCUCAACCGUGGAGGGUCAUUGGAAACUGGAGAACUUGAGUACAGAAGAGGAAAGCGGAAUUCCACGUGUAGCGGUGAAAUGCGUAGAGAUGUGGAGGAACACCAGUGGCGAAGGCGGCUUUCUGGUCUGUAACUGACGCUGAGGCGCGAAAGCGUGGGGAGCAAACAGGAUUAGAUACCCUGGUAGUCCACGCCGUAAACGAUGAGUGCUAAGUGUUAGGGGGUUUCCGCCCCUUAGUGCUGCAGCUAACGCAUUAAGCACUCCGCCUGGGGAGUACGGCCGCAAAGGCUG